RNAcentral lists this transfer RNA (71 nucleotides) under Marmota monax (woodchuck). RNAcentral's name for it is "tRNA.Val". The record is from RNAcentral. Lineage: Eukaryota; Metazoa; Chordata; Mammalia; Rodentia; Sciuridae.
UGGAGUUGUGGCUCAGUGGUAGAGUGCUUGCCUAACGUGUGAGGCACUGGGUUCAAUUCUCAGCACUGUAU